RNAcentral lists this non-coding RNA (28 nucleotides) under Rattus norvegicus (Norway rat). The record is from RNAcentral. Lineage: Eukaryota; Metazoa; Chordata; Mammalia; Rodentia; Muridae.
UACUUUAGCUGAAAGAUUGCAUCGUGUC